Molecule: long non-coding RNA, 454 nt
Organism: Mauremys reevesii (Reeves's turtle)
Lineage: Eukaryota; Metazoa; Chordata; Testudines; Geoemydidae
Exons: 4
Source: RefSeq, a predicted model, not a curated record
GUUGGUUAUUGAUAUUACAAUUAGAUCUAUGAAAGGGGAUGGAGACAUAACCCAUGGGCUCUAGCACUUCCCCCUCAGCUUUUGACAGCUGACCCCAUUUCAGAAUGAUGUGAGAGGGUGCUUGCCAAAAGCUAUUCAUCACAGUGUCUACACAGGAAGAUUGAAUUGAUCUGAUUGUUUUCUCCAAAUCAAAACUUCCAUUAAGUAGUACGAAAAAGUUCUGGAACUUUUGGUUUUGAAGAUAGCCUUUAUACACGUUAUCUGUACAGAGGACAAAGAUUUUUCUCAGGACUGGUCCCAGACUGUGGAACAAACUAAGAACUACCAUAAACCUCACCACCUUCCUCUCCAAAUGCAAGGUUUUGGGGGACUCACAAUUCCCAACAUGGGCAUCUUUACAAAGAUAAGACUGGGUCAGGGAUGUUUCCCACCCUCUGAGCCUUGCCUAAACUAC